Molecule: transfer RNA, 63 nt
Filed under: Oxyethira ecornuta
Lineage: Eukaryota; Metazoa; Arthropoda; Insecta; Trichoptera; Hydroptilidae
Description: tRNA-His
Source: RNAcentral
AUUUAAAUAGUUUAAUAAAAAAUUUUGAUUUGUGGUGUCAAAGAUAUAGAUUUAUUUUAAAUU